UAGAAAGUAGCAUAGAGGAGUGCUGAAGAUUUUGGGUCUUUAGGUGUAGGUGCAAGUCCUAUUUUUCUAG
RNAcentral lists this transfer RNA (70 nucleotides) under Plica plica (tree runner). Its description in RNAcentral is "tRNA-Gln". It matches the Rfam family "tRNA". Rfam says of the family: Transfer RNA (tRNA) molecules are approximately 80 nucleotides in length. Their secondary structure includes four short double-helical elements and three loops (D, anti-codon, and T loops). Further hydrogen bonds mediate the characteristic L-shaped molecular structure. tRNAs have two regions of fundamental functional importance: the anti-codon, which is responsible for specific mRNA codon recognition, and the 3' end, to which the tRNAs corresponding amino acid is attached (by aminoacyl-tRNA synthetases). tRNAs cope with the degeneracy of the genetic code in two manners: having more than one tRNA (with a specific anti-codon) for a particular amino acid; and 'wobble' base-pairing, i.e. permitting non-standard base-pairing at the 3rd anti-codon position. Lineage: Eukaryota; Metazoa; Chordata; Lepidosauria; Squamata; Tropiduridae. The record is from RNAcentral.